AGAGUUUGAUCAUGGCUCAGGAUCAACGCUGGCGGCGUGCCUAAAACAUGCAAGUCGAACGGGCAGGUUUCGGCCUGUCAGUGGCGGACGGCUGAGUAACACGUGGGCGACCUGCCCACUGGUGGGGGAUAACCAUCCGAAAGGGUGGCUAAGACCGCAUACGCUCACAGCUUCGGUGGUGUGAGGAAAGCAGCGAUGCGCCGGUGGAGGGGCCCGCGGCCGAUUAGCUAGCUGGUGGGGUCACAGCCUACCAGGGCGACGAUCGGUCGCCGAUCUGAGAGGAUGAUCGGCCAGACUGGGACUGAGAGACGGCCCAGACUCCUGCGGGAGGCAGCAGUUAGGAAUUUUGGGCAAUGGGCGCAAGCCUGACCCAGCAACGCCGCGUGGGCGACGAAGCCCUUCGGGGUGUAAAGCCCUUUUCCACGGGACGAUGAUGACGGUACCGUGGGAAGAAGCCCCGGCUAACUACGUGCCAGCAGCCGCGGUAAUACGUAGGGGGCGAGCGUUGUCCGGAAUCAUUGGGCGUAAAGCGCGCGCAGGCGGCUGUGUGAGCCCGGCGUGAAAGCCCCCGGCUCAACCGGGGGAGGUCGUCGGGGGCCGCAUGGCUGGAGGCCGGCAGGGGAGAGCGGAAUUCCCGGUGUAGUGGUGGAAUGCGUAGAGAUCGGGAGGAACACCAGUGGCGAAGGCGGCUCUCUGGGCCGGACCUGACGCUCAGGCGCGAAAGCGUGGGGAGCGAUCCGGAUUAGAUACCCCGGUAGUCC
This 761-nucleotide ribosomal RNA is filed under the name uncultured soil bacterium. RNAcentral describes it as "bacterial SSU rRNA". It matches the Rfam family "Bacterial small subunit ribosomal RNA", at positions 8 to 796 of the family's 1533-position model. The record is from RNAcentral.